This 1064-nucleotide long non-coding RNA is filed under the name Bos indicus x Bos taurus (hybrid cattle). Its description in RNAcentral is "lncRNA (ENSBIXG00005006922.1)". Lineage: Eukaryota; Metazoa; Chordata; Mammalia; Artiodactyla; Bovidae. The record is from RNAcentral.
AAGGACCACACCACCGGAGGCCUAGCCCGCGCCCUAGAGGCUCCUGGGGAGGAGCCAGGCUAGCGCACGCUGAAUGCUGCUGCUGCUGCUGCUAAGUCGCUUCAGUCGUGUCCGACUCUGUGCGACCCCACAGAUGGCAGCCCACCAGGCUCCCCCGUCCCUGGGAUUCUCCAGGCAAGAACACUGGAGUGGGUUGCCAUUUCCUUCUCCAAUGCAUGAAAGUGAAAAGUCAAAGUGAAGUUGAAUACAGAGGCCCAAAGUGCCCGAAUUCCAGCUUCACUGCUGCGGGGCCCAGGACAGAGCUCUGCCCGGGAACAGGACACCGAGGCUCGGGUCUCUGCCCCUCACCGGCUGUGGGCCUGCGCGAGGGACAGUGCCUGUCUCCGAGCCUGGAUCUCUCAAGCCGAAGCCGGACGCUGCGUUGCUUAGGUGUCCCUGGCCCGGCCUGACAGUGGGCGGGACCGUGGAGACGGGGCGGGGCUUCCGGUGGGCGGGGCAUACGCCUGGCACCGCCCCCUGCACCUAUCACGGCUUCUCGCGGGUCAGUCGCCAUGCGCGUGGACUCAGCCCGCUCUGGUCGCUACAGGGCAGGCCCACAGGAUCUGCCCUGAUCGGUGGUGAGCUCGAGGGUGGCGUUGCGGGCAUGCUGGCGCUUAGGUCCCAGGCGCACCGGGAAUUCCGCCUCAGCCCGGCUCUUUAUCAGCCGCGGGACCUCGGGAACGUCGCUGUGACACCCUGCCCGGGAGGGGCGAGGAUGAAAUCUCAGCACCAUCCCCCGCCACACACACACAUUCCACACCCGGAAACCCCCGCCUGGGAAUGACUCUCGGCUUGCUCGAGCCCUGGACCCAAAUCCCCCAUGUCCGCAAGUCCUGGCAAGGCUUUCUGUGAAAUGUCUGCCACCUGCCCCCUUGUGGAGGCGACAGGAAGGGCCGGAGGAGGACGGGAGGGACCUUGAAGGACAGCCCAACCCCCUCAACCCCCCACCCCAAGAGGAGCCAGCCUGGGCCUGUAUACUGGCCACAGGUUUAAAAUUAAAGCGGGCUGCCAGGCAAACUUCUGCA